RNAcentral lists this unclassified non-coding RNA (200 nucleotides) under Paraphoma sp. RNAcentral describes it as "partial internal transcribed spacer 2". The record is from RNAcentral. Lineage: Eukaryota; Fungi; Ascomycota; Dothideomycetes; Pleosporales; Phaeosphaeriaceae.
UUAAGUUCAGCGGGUAUCCCUACCUGAUCCGAGGUCAAAAGUGAAAAAGGCUUGUGGAAGCGGGCGUAUAGCCUUGAAUCGCGACUUGUGCUGCGCUUCAAAACCAAAACACUGGCUGCCAAUGACUUUAAGGCGAGUCCUCGGGACAAACACCCAACACAAGCAAAGCUUGAAGGUACAAAUGACGCUCGAACAGGCAU